UUUGAACUUUAUAACCUUCUAUCUCUCUCUGUAGGCUACUCCAUUUUUCCUUCUCUUUUUUCUAUAACAAAGCCCAAUACUAUGGUCUUUUAUCUUUCAUUACGUUUUAAUUAGGAGUCUUUGACCAACUGACCCUUAAUGAACACUUAAAAGCCACUAAUCAGCUGGAGUGUGUGUACUUUAUCAGGUCGAAAAGGAGAGUGUGCAAACUCAAAUGUGUGUCCUUAUCUAAUUGCCUGUUUCAUUUGUGUGUGUGUGUGUGUGUGUGUGUGUGUAUUAUUUUUUUUUUGCACAGAUGCUAUUUAAGCCUUUCCCAAUACACGGUCACAAAGCCAGUGGUUUCUAUGCCAGUGGAGAACUGCUGAUCUAAAUUUACUCUCAGGAAGCAAUUAGAACUGGAGGUGAACUGUUUUGUCUCCAAGCUGCAGCAAUCAGCUCUUAAAUAUCUGAACAGCUUAGUGUACACACAGCUUGUCAUUGAUUGGUACAACACAAUUUCAGACAGAUUUAGAAAUUGUUGGCAUAAAUUAGAUUAAUGUAGCCUGUUAUCUUGAGAGAAGCUGUUAGUUUAGCUUUAAUUAAUCUCGAGUCCUGCUUUUCAGUCCUCUCUGCACUGAUUGGUGUAUAGAAAUAGUUCUGUCUCCCAUUUUCCACAUAGGCUUUUGUCAUAAUUGAUUUUUAAGCCACUGUUAAAAUAAGCAAAAACACUUUGAUAAUAAAUGGAAUCCUUUCCUCAGUACAUUAAAUGCCUUCUAUUUUAAGAUUAACGCCAUUCCUGACUUGUAUACUGUACGUGCACUGAAUAUGGGACCACACCUGACUGGAUUAACAGCCACCUGUUUUUAAUUUCAUAUUAACUUUGGCAAUAUUGGAGCAUUAUUCUCUGAGGGGAGGGUUCAUUGUGGUUAAUGUAUGAGUAUUUGUCAUUCUUCACUGUUACAUUUGGAAACUAAAAGGCCUCUCUCAAAACUAAUGACAUUCCCAUCAGACUCAACUGUACUUUGUGUUUAGUGUUAAUUGGCAAAUGCUAGCAUGCUAACACACUAAACUAAGAUGGUCUUAGUAAACAUUGUUCCUGCUAAACAUAAGAAUGUUAGCAUUGUCAUUGUGAGCAUGUUAGCAUGUUAAUGUUAGCAUUUAGCUCAAAGCACCACUGUGCCUAAGUACAGCCUCCCAGAGCCGCUAGCAUGACUGUAGACUGUUAUUUAUGUGUUUUUAAUCUGUGACAGAUCAAAGUGUACAGUUACAACCUUCUAAGUGUUCAUAGAUUGCUGUGCAGUGCUGUGCCCCAUGUUAUCGCUUCUGGGCUGAGGCGAAACCUAGAAUAAGACAACUUUAUGUGUGCUGUAACUUGCUAAAUGCGGUGUGUGUGCUUUUUAAUUUGCAGAGAAAGACUGAUUGAAGUUUGUGUUGUUAUAAAUACAGUAUAAAUACUGUGUAUUAGAGCUAGAAUCAGUUAAAACUUUCGUGCAACAAUGUUGAUAUUGUUAUUAUAACUGGUCCAUAAAACCUGGUCUCAGGUGGUAGACCACAGCCCAAAAGAUUGGAAUAAGAAUUUGAUAUUUGUUCUGUUAAUGGAUCAACUUGUGAAGCACUGUGUAGAUUUACAUAAUCAGAAUAUUUCCUGAAUGUUACCUGUCUGUCACAAAUCAUACAUCUAAUGUUGAUGUAUCAAGUUCAAUUUCCCUAAAUGAAUAUCUAACCAUUAAUACUAUAUCUAACCCACUUUGGCUCAUAACAAGGUACAGUGAUCCUGUGAUAACCCGAAACUCAAGAACCAAGCAUGCCCUCUGUGUGUAGUUUUCUUCUGUAGGUAUUGUCUUUUAUUGGUGAUGUAUUUCUGUCCCAGUGCUUUGUUUUAGCUUCUGUUUUUUUGUAUGCCAAUAAUUAUUCAAACAAGGAUAAAGUCAUAGAUCGGAAACCAUUACAUUAAGUAAUACGUGAUCAGUCGAAAAGUUCUUUUAGGAAAAACCAACAACAAAUAUAUAAAAAAUAAAACAAACGUUGCUCUACUUUGUUCAUAGAAAUGCUUCUACCUUUUAUUGCUACUGUAGGUUGAAAAAAAGGCAAGAAGAUGAAGAGAAGUAGUAGAAGUACAGGAAACUAUCAAUUCACAGAAUGAGCUGAUCAUGGUUGGCAGUGUUCCUAUUUCUAUUCUACCAUGCUUUAAACAAAAGGAAAUGAUUGAAAAACUAUUUUACAUAUAUAAAAGUACAUGAUAUGAACUUUCACCACCUCCACCUUUAACUUUUUCUUUGAUUUUCAGAAAUCACCAUCAACAAAAUCAAAAUGCCCCUCCACUGCCCUUUCUUGAAAUCUGAGGUGUUUCUCCCCCUUGGAAAUAUAUCUGGAUAUCAUCACAAAAACACACAGUGGCAGCAGGGAACAGUGACACUUUUUUCUUCCUUGCGGAAGAGUCAAAACCACUGGCCCAAAUAUUUCAACACGGGGGAGAACAAAACAGGAUAUAAAUAAAAAGCAACUUCAGCCUGUUACUUGGUUUUGUCUUUUAUUUCCAAUUUACAUUAAUUAAAACGUAACAAAAACAAGUCAUGACCAUAAUAAUAAUAUAAUAAUGCUAUUAUUAUUAAUAAUAAUACUAUUAUUAAUAAUAAAAAAUAUACACAACCUCACACAAAUGAGCCCUCUGCGCUGGCUGUAGAACUGGAGCAACAAAGUCAAACACACCCUGAAUCUCUUCAACUGUGUGUGUAUGUGUGUGUGAGAGAGUGUGUACACCGGGGCAGAGGGCACACCCUGUAUGAGGGGUCUGAUGGUGGGAAGUAGAGAGGGGUGGGGGUCAAAGGUCACAGCAAAUGGAGGGGGGGGGGCAGCAGACUGGGCUUUCAUGACCAAGCUUCUAUUGGUCAUAUUAAUAUUAAAAUACAG
Sander lucioperca (pikeperch) is the source of this 2889-nucleotide long non-coding RNA. RefSeq lists it as uncharacterized. The record is from RefSeq and is a predicted model, not a curated record. The transcript is spliced from 2 exons. Lineage: Eukaryota; Metazoa; Chordata; Actinopteri; Perciformes; Percidae.